Long non-coding RNA from Ictalurus punctatus (channel catfish), 1030 nucleotides. Lineage: Eukaryota; Metazoa; Chordata; Actinopteri; Siluriformes; Ictaluridae. The record is from Ensembl.
GCAGUGUGCAGACCUUCAUGAGUGAUAAUAUGUUGUUUGAAAGGCUUGCCUUUGACAGACAAGAUGGAAGGAACAUUCUGCAGUAGCCCAUAAGCUGUCCCAGAGGAAACUCUCUCUUCAGCCACGUGCCUUGGUGCCAUCUGAGGAGAGAUGAUGACAGACACAUACUUUAUGCUUUACACAUUCUUUACACAGACUUUUCUUCUGAUUGAUCUAUAUGAGCAUAAAGAGUGUAAAAAGAGUGUAGACUAAAUCUAAGGUCAGAAUAUUGCAACAGAGCUGAGAAACGUGUUUGAAUUUCCUCUUGGGGAUCAAUAAAGUAUCUAUCUAUCUAUCUAUCUAUCUAUCUAUCUAUCUAUCUAUCUAUCUAUCUACUAUGUUGUGGGGAAAAAAAUUACAUGUAAGUUCAUAUAGUGUUUACUUUAACAAAAUCCAGGCUAGUUACUGAACAAAAUCCAGGCUAGUUACUGAACAAAAUCCAGGCUAGUUACUGAACAAAAUCCAGGCUUGUUACUGAACAAAAUCCAGGCUAGUUACUUGAACAAAAUCCAGGCUAGUUACUGAACAAAAUCCAGGCUAGUUACUGAACAAAAUCCAGGCUAGUUACUUGAACAAAAUCCAGGCUAGUUACUUUAGAAAAAUCCAGGCUAGUUACUGAACAAAAUCCAGGCUAGUUACUGAACAAAAUCCAGGCUAGUUACUGAACAAAAUCCAGGCUAGUUACUGAACAAAAUCCAGGCUAGUUACUUGAACAAAAUCCAGGCUAGUUACUUUAGAAAAAUCCAGGCUAGUUACUGAACAAAAUCCAGGCUAGUUACUGAACAAAAUCCAGGCUAGUUACUUUAGCAAAAUCCAGGCUAGAUACUUUAGCAAAAUCCAGGCUAGUUACUGAACAAAAUCCAGGCUAGUUACUGAACAAAAUCCAGGCUAGUUACUGAACAAAAUCCAGGCUUGUUACUGAACAAAAUCCAGGCUAGUUACUGAACAAAAUCCAGGCUAGUUACUUGAACAAAAUCCAGGCUAGUUACUU